Molecule: ribosomal RNA, 849 nt
Filed under: uncultured bacterium
Lineage: Bacteria
Description: bacterial SSU rRNA
Rfam family: Bacterial small subunit ribosomal RNA
Source: RNAcentral
CACAUGCAAGUCGAGCGAUGAAGCACCUUCGGGUGUGAAUUAGCGGCGAACGGGUGAGGAACACGUGAAGAAUCUGCCUUCAACUCUGGGAUAACUCCGGGAAACCGGGGCUAAUACCGGAUAUGAGCCUUGAUCGCAUGAUCGGGGCUGGAAAGUUUUUCGGUUGAAGAUGACUUCGCGGCCUAUCAGCUUGUUGGUGAGGUAAUGGCUCACCAAGGCGACGACGGGUAGCCGGCCUGAGAGGGCGACCGGCCACACUGGGACUGAGACACGGCCCAGACUCCUACGGGAGGCAGCAGUGGGGAAUAUUGGGCAAUGGAGGAAACUCUGACCCAGCGACGCCGCGUGAGGGAUGAAGGCCUUCGGGUUGUAAACCUCUUUCAGUAGGGAAGAAGCGAAAGUGACGGUACCUACAGAAGAAGCACCGGCUAACUAUGUGCCAGCAGCCGCGGUAAUACAUAGGGUGCAAGCGUUGUCCGGAAUUAUUGGGCGUAAAGAGCUCGUAGGUGGUUCGAUACGUCGGAUGUGAAAAUCAGGGGCUCAACCCCUGACCUGCAUCCGAUACGGUCGAGCUAGAGUUUGGUAGGGGAGACUGGAAUUCCUGGUGUAGCGGUGGAAUGCGCAGAUAUCAGGAGGAACACCGAUGGCGAAGGCAGGUCUCUGGGCCAAUACUGACACUGAGGAGCGAAAGCGUGGGGAGCGAACAGGAUUAGAUACCCUGGUAGUCCACGCCGUAAACGGUGGGCGCUAGUUGUGCGAACCUUCCACGGUUUGUGCGACGCAGCUAACGCAUUAAGCGCCCCGCCUGGGGAGUACGAUCGCAAGAUUAAAACUCAAAGGAAUUGACGG